GGCUGUCCAGGAGACUGCAGAUACGCUACCACUGGAGAAGAUAGUUCAGUUCUCCCUGUCACCUCCUGAGUCUUGAUAGACUCCCACAUUCCCCAGGUGAGCAGAUGUCUGGUUUUGGGGAUCUUUGCAAGGGGAAACAGUAUAAUACAGGACACAUAUUUUAUAAAAUUAUUUAUAAUAGUCACCCAGAGAAUCAUAUACAAGAGAGUGCAGGAAAUCUGUCCACAUACUAAAAAUCAAAGAAUCCAGCUGAGGGCCUGGAUCCCAAGAUAAUGUCCUGCAUGAGUCCAGGUGAAGACCUAGAGCCUAUAACAAUGCCUCCUAUGAAUCCAGCUGGAGGCCUAGAGCCCAUGACAAUGUCUCAUGCAGACCUGUUUCACGAACCUGCACUGGAAAGGCCAAAGGUCAGUGGUGGAAUCUAGAAAUUCUGUGCCAGCAGGAUGACAGAUCUGUGCUAGCAGGCUGGGGGAACUACACUGGAGCCAGGAAGCGACACUCAAAAUAAGAAGCAGAGCUUCCCCAAAAAGCACCACAGCCAUCCUCAGUAACAGUGAGGUCCUGAGCUCCUCCAAUGAUCAGGACAGCCGAGUUCCCAUUAGGAAAGCCAAUGUGACAAGCUUCUCCAAGAGACUGGCAGUGCCCCUUCUUCCCCUCCAGAGCCAGGAAGUGAUGCUCAGAGUGAGGACCAGAGCUCCCCAAAGUGAACCAAAGCCAUUCUCAGUGCCAGCAGGGUCCCAAGCUCCUUGGAAGAUGAAAACAGCCAAGUUCAUCAGGAAGGCCAGCAGGACAACCUCCUCCAAGAGAACCAACAGCUCCUUACCACUUCUGCCAGCUCCCAACAGCCUUUACUCAGAUCCCAACAGCCGUCCUCCUCCUCCUCCCAUUCUGCCUCUUAUGCUGCUGGCAACAGUCCCCAGAGGAGAAAAUCUACCUGAGGAGGCCCAGACAGCGUCAUCAUGAAUCCAGUGCUGCACUGGCCAGGCUCCAAGCAAUACAACUCCCCAUGGAAAUGCCAUUUUCACAGGAUGCUGUGUUUUUCUAUUUUUAACAAAGGAACACCAUUGUCUGGGGAUGAGAAAAGGUUUUGGCUCACGUGAAAGAAGCAAGUCUACUUGUGCCAGCAGAAGAGUGAUGUAUACUGAUAGCAUAAUCAAUUUUCUUGUCGAGGUAUG
RNAcentral lists this long non-coding RNA (1172 nucleotides) under Chinchilla lanigera (long-tailed chinchilla). RNAcentral describes it as "lncRNA (ENSCLAG00000027714.1)". The record is from RNAcentral. Lineage: Eukaryota; Metazoa; Chordata; Mammalia; Rodentia; Chinchillidae.